This is a non-coding RNA of Lolium perenne, 1854 nucleotides long. NCBI's taxonomy places the organism in Eukaryota, Viridiplantae, Streptophyta, Magnoliopsida, Poales, Poaceae. The record is from RefSeq and is a predicted model, not a curated record.
ACCUCGCCAUUGCUCGUCUUUCCUGAUUGCCUGGCAGGAUAUGUAGCUACCUUUUCUUCGGCAACAUGGCAUGGACUGCAGGGAUCUUCUCUGGUUGUUUGGUUAGGUUUGCAACUGACUUUUCUCCAAUCUUUCUGGGAGAAUUGCACAUUCUUUUCUUCCCUAUUUCUCUGAUUUGUUCUUUCUGCAGUUUUAUUUCUUGGUUGUUUGUGAUUGGGAGGAACUGCUAUUGUCAGAGAGAGAGGUGUCACCAGUCACCCCCUGCGUUUCUUUGUUCAGCCCUCAGUACACAGGCAAAACUCGGUUAUUGUGGAUCCUAACCUUGGGCUAACCUCUCUCCUACUCUUGCUCCUUAUUGAUUCAUGGCAAGUCUCUGGAAACAUGAUGAUAUUAAUUCUUGUGAACCCUAAUGGUGGCUUCUUGUCUGGCUAUUAUAUCUGUAGCAGGAACCUGAAGAACUAGUUGAGGCAAUCUCACACAAGCAUCACUAUCUUCUUUUGGCCAUGAUUGGCUUGGUGGCGGGGGAGGUUAUGUUCUCAGUGGCUGGUAGAGCUUCAUGAAGCAUAAAAUCUGAGGCGUCUUAGCUCUGAUUAAUUCAUGAAUUUAUCAGGGGAUUAGGGAUAUGAAGUUACCUAACAUACUUUUAGAUUCAGACCUCAAUGCCAUGGUAAUGGUAUGACUAUAUUUUAAUUAUAGUCAGUAAGAAUAGUACUGUUGACCAUAACUCGUAUACCACUUGAAGAAAAAGAAAAAGAAAAAGAAAACAGUUCAUGUAUCAUUUAUUGGUGUGCAGAUUUUCGGAUUUUGGCCUUGCAGUUAUAGGUGUAAAUCACAGCAAAGGUAAUCUGAAGCUUCCCUGAACUUUGGGCUAUCUUGCUCCUCAGUACUUAUCAUAUGGUCUGUCCUUCUUUUCUUCUUGUUCUUCAUCUGCAAUCUACUUUCUACUGUAAACGUUGAUGAUGUCCUAUUUUGUUACGUGCAACUAUAUUCAAUACAGGGAAGUUGAUUGAGAAGAGCGAUUUAUAUGUAUGUGCUGGGUGUAGUGCUUCUGGAGCUUUUAUUGCGAAGGAGGCCAAUUGAGAAGAUGGCACCAUCUCAAUGCCAAUCAAUUGUUGCAUGGGUAUUCUAAAAAUUAGCUAGAACUGGUCCAGUUAAGCAGUGUUCACUUUCAGCAUGCAUAGAUUAUUUCUGAUUUCACCACCUGAAUCUGGGCAAUUUGCAUUUGCCCAUUCCAUUAGCAUAUGACACAUUUGAUAUCAAAUGCAGGCCAUGCCUAAGCUAAUUGACAGAUCAAAGCUCCCAACCAUACAUAAUUGACCCUGUGAUGAAGAACAGGAUGGACCUGAAGCACUUGUACCAAGUACUACUCACAAUCAACAUUAGCUCAUAAUUGUUUCUUUCAUUUGUUUUCAGGUUACUGCACUGGCUGUGCUCUGUGUGCAGCCAGAACCAAGUUACAGGCCACUAAUCACAGAUGUACUCAUAUGUCAAGCUGGCUUCUUGGAGUAGCACAUUGCUUCCUGUCGAAUACUUGUCCCUCUGCAGCUGCAGCUGGUGGUCACAUGUCUUCAUGGCCUGAGGUUGCUCCCAGUGGCGGACGCCUCAGAGGGGCUUGCUACCGGUGCGAGGGUCGCUCGAUUUGCUGUUGCUAUGAUGCUAUCAAUGGCGCUAGGCUGUUAGGGUUCUUGUGCUAGUUCAGUGUAGUAGUGUUGUUUUUUUCUCUUUUGAUUGCUUGAUCUUUGUUCUGCUUUGUAAGAGGACUUCCUCAACACCUUGUAUCGUCUGACCGAGCUGGCUUUAUUAAUUUAAAGCUGGGCUGCAAAGCCUUCUAUCUAAAAUAACAGAUGUACUCCA